Molecule: ribosomal RNA, 253 nt
Filed under: uncultured bacterium
Lineage: Bacteria
Description: partial 16S ribosomal RNA
Rfam family: Bacterial small subunit ribosomal RNA
Source: RNAcentral
UACAGAGGUCUCAACCGUUGUUCGGAUUCAUUGGGCGUAAAGGGUGCGUAGGCGGUCGUGCAAGUCGGAUGUGAAAUCUCAGGGCUCAACCCUGAAACUGCAUUCGAUACUGCGCGGCUAGAGUGCUGGAGGGGAGACUGGAAUUUACGGUGUAGCAGUGAAAUGCGUAGAUAUCGGGAGGAAUACCGGUGGCGAAAGCGACUCUCUGGACGGCAACUGACGCUGAGGCACGAAAGCGUGGGGAGCAAACAGG